GGGAAGGUGGCUCAGUGGUAGAGUACUUGCCUUGCAUGCAUGAGGCCCUGGGUUCGAUUCCUCAGCUCCA
This 70-nucleotide transfer RNA is filed under the name Dipodomys ordii (Ord's kangaroo rat). It matches the Rfam family "tRNA". From Rfam's summary of the family: Transfer RNA (tRNA) molecules are approximately 80 nucleotides in length. The record is from Rfam by way of RNAcentral. Lineage: Eukaryota; Metazoa; Chordata; Mammalia; Rodentia; Heteromyidae.